UUUAGACCUGCACACCAGUCCAGCGAGGAGGGCACGGUGCUAUUAUCUUCCCCACACUACAGGUGAGGAAACGGACGCCCUGAGUGUAAGGUGUGGCCCAAGUCAUGGUCAAUGGCAGAGCUGGGGCUGUCAGUCCGUCCUGCCCGGAGCUGUGGCAUGAAGAGGUCAGGCCAUUCCAGCUCAUGAAACAACUAAUAUUUGUUUGGUGCCACAAGGUUUACAGAGCCUGUUCACCCACACUGUUUCAUCGAUUCUCCCAGAACACAGAGGGAGAAUCUCGGCGGGAGAGGGAAUGUGCCUGCCGCAGAGUUCGAGUGGUCAGGAGGUCCGGCCCAGCUGUGUAAAAGCCCUCCACUUUGGCGUCAGACAAGCUGGGACUGGGCUCCGUCAUUUUCGGCUGUGUGACUCCGGGCCUGUGGCUGAACCUCUCAGCGCUUCCAUUUCUGUGUGUGAGACGGGGAUAGCGGCACUUGUCUGCUGGCGGAGCCUCUGUCUCCGCUGCACAUUGUGAUCCGCUGGGGAGAUUUUAAAAUACACUGACACCCAGGCCCCGGCCCAGAGGGGUCUGACAUCCCUGGGCUGGGGUGUGGCUGGACAUGGGGAGUUUUGUCCCCGGCGAUGGCCUGGGCUGAGAGCCUCUAUCCCUGCGGCUGUUGGAGGAUGAGCCGAGAUGCAACCCAGAAAUUGCCUGGCCUGUGGAGGUGCCACAUACAUCACACCCCCACUCCACCUGGCAGCCCAUCUGUUUUGUAAAAUACAUUCAUUGCCCCGUUGACGGAACAGCCACAGGUUCUAAAGGAAAAGUUCAUCUUCAGAGGAGCCAGGCCAGCAGGAUGGCAGGGGCCUGCUGAUGACCCUGG
This 860-nucleotide long non-coding RNA is filed under the name Homo sapiens (human). Its description in RNAcentral is "non-protein coding lnc-SLC38A8-9:1". Lineage: Eukaryota; Metazoa; Chordata; Mammalia; Primates; Hominidae. The record is from RNAcentral.